GAUGAACGCUGGCGGCGUGCUUAACACAUGCAAGUCGAACGAAGCAUUUGCGACAGAUUUUUUCGGAAUGAAGUUGCUUAUGACUGAGUGGCGGACGGGUGAGUAACGCGUGGGUAACCUGCCUUGUACUGGGGGAUAGCAGCAUGAAACGGCUGGUAAUACCGCAUAAGCGCACAAUGUUGCAUGACAUGGUGUGAAAAACUCCGGUGGUAUAAGAUGGACCCGCGUCUGAUUAGCUAGUUGGUGAGAUAACAGCCCACCAAGGCGACGAUCAGUAGCCGAGCUGAGAGGGUGACCGGCCACAUUGGGACUGAGCCACGGCCCAGACUCCUACGGGAGGCAGCAGUGGGGAAUAUUGCACAAUGGAGGAAACUCUGAUGCAGCGACGCCGCGUGAGUGAAGAAGUAAUUCGUUAUGUAAAGCUCUAUCAGCAGGGAAGAUAGUGACGGUACCUGACUAAGAAGCUCCGGCUAAAUACGUG
This 481-nucleotide ribosomal RNA is filed under the name uncultured bacterium. RNAcentral's name for it is "partial 16S ribosomal RNA". It matches the Rfam family "Bacterial small subunit ribosomal RNA", at positions 28 to 507 of the family's 1533-position model. The record is from RNAcentral.